CAAUUAUUGCUUUCGAAUAUUCUCAUGGUAUUGCUCUUUGUUUUUGAGGAUCCAAUUAAUAAGCAAAUCAUGGAGACUUGGCUGUUGACCUCAACACUCUCGUCUGCUUUGACUCCUUCAAUAUCUUGGAUGUGAACCAGGCUUGGAAUAUUGGGUGUUCUUGUUUUUGAUACAUGUAAAGAGGUAAGCUAAGCAUCUCUUUCAAGAUCUCUCUAGCUGCUGCAGCGAUUCCAAAUCGCUUUCUUUCUUCAAGUUCCUUAGAAGGAGAAUUGUAUAGCAACCAACUCUCUUUGCGUUUUGCUCCAGGUGUGGGCCAAUUUUGAUGCCUUUUGUGAAUCCCUCCAUCUGGGCUUAUCAAAAGAGGAGGAGGAAAGAAGUAAGUUUCUCUUCUCAGUUACGUUCUGUGAAUUUUAAAGGACUACACAUGUUUCAAUUCAGUACUGAGCUAGUUUCAAUUCAAACUUCUUUACAAAAGAAAAAUAAAGAAAAGAAAACUGUCCUCUGAUGUGAAUGAGUAAGCAAACUUCACAUAAACUAGGAAGGAAAGGGGAAGUUGGAUUCUUGAGUUCACAGGCUAAUGGUGGAGUCCAUGUUACAAUUGCUUUGUUUAAACAAAUCUGUUCCAGUUAGUAUUCUGUUUUUCCAUGUUUUAGUUUCAUAGCGUUUUGACAUAUCGUUUCAAACCGUUUAUAAUUCAAAAUAUUAAUUUAACAAGUAUAAUUUCAAUGUAUAACCCCAAUUCAAAUUAUGUAAUUUAAAUUUUAAACACUAGUAUAAAAGUUGGAUUUGAACUGGUAUGACCUCAUCAAUUUGAUAAGUUCGAAGAUAACCUAGAAUCCUGGAUGACUAGUAAUAAUAUAAUUUGGCUAAAAUCAUUAAAGAAGACAACAUAUUAAAUCGAUCCGAGUUAACUUGAGUUAACUUUUUAAAUCAAUGACCCGAGUUAAAAGAUUAUAAUAAUUUUAAAUAAAUCAAAUCAAAAUAAAUCAUACAGCUCAAUUCACUAAUGAGUUAGUUCUCAUGAUUUCAAAAACUAUGUGUGUAGAGUAUCUGGUUUUAAAUCAAUGGAAAUCUUCAAUUUCAGACACUUGAAAAGCGCACAAAAUAGAAAAAGAUAAAAAUAAAAAACCUAAAAAGUUAAAAAGUUAAAAAACCUGGAAAUGUACUUAAAAACCUGAAGAAAAAAAAAACUUAACUCUUUGGAAACGUAAUUUGAGAUCAGUACAUAUAUAACUCAUACUACUAGAGACAGAAUCUGAUCACAUAUAAUUAAUUAAAUCCAUUAUUAAUGAUGGGAAUUACAUGCACGUAAUACAUAUUCAAGAAACCAAGAACAGCAACAUAUUCAUUUAAUUAGACUCAAACACUCAAACAUACAUAAAUUUACACACAAAAAAACACCAAACUUAGGAAAUUCAUUCUUCUAUAUAUAUCUGGAUAUGGCCGAACAUCCUCGCUCCAUGCAAAUAAUAGCUAGUUAGCUCUUGUCACUUCAACCCAAACCUCCUCACCAAACAGCUUGAAACCACUCCUCCUCUUAGCUUCAAUCCUGAACUGUGACCCCAGGUUCUGGUCAUCCUCACGAUGAAGAACAACCUUGUCACCAACUCUCAGUCCAUAAUGAGCAACAAAAUCACGCCAGCCCAUAGAAAGCUCUGGCUUGUCAUAUCCUCCAUUUCUCUUCCGGCAACGAAUAACUCGAAGCUCACCACAGCUAUCUUUAACAUGCAAAUCAACAUAAUUAUUUCCAGCAAAAUCUAAAUACUGCAAGCAAUGAGUUGGGAACGAGAAACGAUGAUGAACAUCAGUAUCUGUCAACACUUUGCUGAAGAUCUGCAUUUUUUUCUCAAGGGUCGUAAAAAGAGAGAGAAAUGGUUAUGUUUAAGCUAUCUGCUGGAUUGAUAUGGUUUCUUGCAGGGAGCUAUCUGUUGAUUGAUAUGGUUUCUUGCAGGGAGCUAUCUGUUGAUUUAUACUAAAAACUAGCUAGCUACUGUAUUCACGGUAGAAAGACAUCGAGCGAGAGAUUUCGGAAAUCUUGUUCAUUUGAUCGAUUUCGCAUGGCGUUAUUUAAAUCUUGAUGGAUUAUUUGUAGAUAGAACAAGAGAAACGCAGGCUUAUGACUACGCUUUUUCAAAGACUAAAUGAGCCAGGAGGUACGCUCGUAUUGCCUCUCGUGCACCUCGUUCGUUCUAACUUGCGAAAAGCAAACACUUGCUCAAGAUCUUGCAUGCUUGUCUAAGUGUUUCUAGAGCAUUUUGGGCAAGGUGGGCAAUGGCCAAGGACCCCAUUUAAUAAAAAAAACUACAAGAAUAAAUAAGGUUUCUUUUUCAAUUAUAUUUUAUGAAAUGAAAAUUGUCCUCCUGUUAGACAUAUAUGAAUAAUAAUAAAAUAUAUUUCUUAAAAAUUAUAUUUUAAAAGGUUUAUGGAGUUAUUAAUCAUGCUCAAUAAUUUUUACAGUGUGCAACUUCAAUAUGAAAAUGGAGAUUUAUAUAAUAGAUUGCAUAAGAUUUGUUAUCAGUUAAUUGUAUUUUACCAUUAUUAUUGGCUCUUGUGAUUUUAGAUAAAGCUGGUUCUUGAUCUUGCAGGCAUGUGCUCUAAGUCCGCCCAAAGUUUCAUCAAAUCCUGCGUUUUCUUGAGAUUUCUGCGAGGUUUUUGUUGAAGGUGCACGAUAUUGUUGAAGGGCAAAUCCUUCCAUGCGUGUCCAAAAUUCGAAGUCAUUUUCAAUUCAAGGUCCACGAUAUAUUUUUUAUAAUAUAAUAAUGCUAGAACUACGCUCGAUCUCCUCAGCAUGCAUCGAGUAAUCGCGUUUGGAUUUCGAGUUCGACUGAUUUGAAAUGCUCGGUGGCUGUGUUGUGUGCAUGUAGCCCAGAGAAUAAAUAGUGUUUGUGUCAUCGACCGAGACCGUCAGCACUGUGGGCGUGCAAUGACGUUUCUACUCGGAGGAGGCUAUGUGAUUUCUUUUUGACAGGCAGCGGUUUCUUUUCUUCAUUCUUUAUUAUUUUUUCC
RNAcentral lists this long non-coding RNA (3006 nucleotides) under Populus tremula. Its description in RNAcentral is "long non-coding RNA (PTRE_LNC002061)". Lineage: Eukaryota; Viridiplantae; Streptophyta; Magnoliopsida; Malpighiales; Salicaceae. The record is from RNAcentral.